UCGACCUUGUUGGGAGAAGCCGGUUCGUCUGUGACCGGUGCCGAAGGAGCAACCGCCCCGGAAACUCUCAGGCCAAAGGACCAGCAAGG
This 89-nucleotide non-coding RNA is filed under the name Rhizobium mesoamericanum. RNAcentral describes it as "Glycine sequence". It matches the Rfam family "Glycine riboswitch aptamer". Rfam says of the family: This family represents the bacterial glycine riboswitch. Glycine riboswitches usually consist of two metabolite-binding aptamers domains with similar structures in tandem. Lineage: Bacteria; Pseudomonadati; Pseudomonadota; Alphaproteobacteria; Hyphomicrobiales; Rhizobiaceae. The record is from RNAcentral.